Molecule: ribosomal RNA, 206 nt
Filed under: uncultured bacterium
Lineage: Bacteria
Description: partial 16S ribosomal RNA
Rfam family: Bacterial small subunit ribosomal RNA
Source: RNAcentral
CACGUAGGGGACGAGCGUUGUCCGGAUUCAUUGGGCGUAAAGCGCGCGUAGGCGGCUCGGAAAGUCGGUCGUGAAAUCCCCGGGCUCAACCCGGGAACUGCGUCCGAUACUGGUUGGCUUGAAUCCGGGGAGAGGGAUGCGGAAUUCCAGGUGUAGCGGUGAAAUGCGUAGAUAUCUGGAGGAACACCGGUGGCGAAGGCGGCAUC